This 750-nucleotide ribosomal RNA is filed under the name uncultured marine haptophyte. Its description in RNAcentral is "bacterial SSU rRNA". It matches the Rfam family "Bacterial small subunit ribosomal RNA", at positions 531 to 1288 of the family's 1533-position model. Lineage: Eukaryota; Haptophyta. The record is from RNAcentral.
GGUGCAAGCGUUAUCCGGAAUCAUUGGGCGUAAAGCGCCUGUAGGUUGUUUAAUAAGUCUGUUGUUAAAGACCAGGGCUCAACCCUAGAAAAGCAAUGGAAACUACUAGACUAGAGUAUGGCAGGGGUAGAGGGAAUUUCUAGUGUAGCGGUGAAAUGCGUAGAUAUUAGAAAGAACACCGGUGGCGAAAGCGCUCUACUGGACCAUUACUGACACUCAGAGGCGAAAGCUAGGGUAGCAAAAGGGAUUAGAUACCCCUGUAGUCCUAGCCGUAAACGAUGGAUACUACAUGUUGUGCUUAUUUGUACAGUAUGGUAGCUAACGCGUUAAGUAUCCCGCCUGGGGAGUACGCUCGCAAGGGUGAAACUCAAAGGAAUUGACGGGGGCCCGCACAAGCGGUGGAGCAUGUGGUUUAAUUCGAUGCAACGCGAAGAACCUUACCAGGGCUUGACAUACUACAAAUUCUUUAGAGAUGAAGAAGUGCCUUCGGGAAUGUAGAUACAGGUGGUGCAUGGCUGUCGUCAGCUCGUGUCGUGAGAUGUUGGGUUAAGUCCCGCAACGAGCGCAACCCUUAUUUUUAGUUACUAAUUCGUUAGGUUCUCUAGAAAGACUGCCGGUGACAAACCGGAGGAAGGUGAGGAUGACGUCAAGUCAGCAUGCCCCUUAUGUCCUGGGCUACACACGUGCUACAAUGGUUAAGACAAAGAGUCGCGAGCUCGCGAGAGUCAGCUAAUCUCAUAAACUUAGCCU